AUGGCUCAGGACGAACGCUGGCGGCGUGCCUAAUACAUGCAAGUCGAACGGCUUUUCUAUGGAAGCUUGCCUCCACCGAGAAGAUAGUGGCGAACGGGUGAGUAACACGUGGGGUAACCCUGCCCAUAAGAGGGGGAUAACAUCCGGAAACGGGUGCUAAUACCGCAUAGUUUUCUUGAUCGCAUGAUCGGGAAAGGAAAGACGGCCUUUGUGCUGUCGCUUAUGGAUGGACCCGCGGCGUAUUAGUUAGUUGGUGAGGUAACGGCUCACCAAGACGAUGAUACGUAGCCGACCUGAGAGGGUGAUCGGCCACAUUGGGACUGAGACACGGCCCAAACUCCUACGGGAGGCAGCAGUAGGGAAUCUUCCGCAAUGGACGAAAGUCUGACGGAGCAACGCCGCGUGAGUGAAAGAAGGUUUUCGGAUCGUAAAACUCUGUUGUCAGAGAAGAACAAGUUGGAGAGUAACUGCUCCAGCCUUGACGGUAUCUGACCAGAAAGCCACGGCUAACUACGUGCCAGCCGCGGC
Molecule: ribosomal RNA, 528 nt
Filed under: uncultured bacterium
Lineage: Bacteria
Description: bacterial SSU rRNA
Rfam family: Bacterial small subunit ribosomal RNA
Source: RNAcentral